UAAUGUCUCAGAUUAGCCAUGCAUGUCUAAGUAUAAGCUUUAUACUGUGAAACUGCGAAUGGCUCAUUAAAUCAGUUAUAGUUUAUUUGAUGGUGUUUCUUACUCGGAUAACCGUAGGAAAACUAGAGCUAAUACGUGCGUAAAUCCCGACUUCGGAAGGGACGUAUUUAUUAGAUAAGAGGCCGACCGGGCUUGUCCCGACCUUCGGUGAAUCAUGAUAACUUCACGAAUCGCACGGUCCUGAACCGGCGAUGUUUCAUUCAAAUUUCUGCCCUAUCAACUUUCGACGGUAGGGUAGUGGCCUACCGUGGUGGUAACGGGUGACGGAGGAUUAGGGUUCGAUUCCGGAGAGGGAGCCUGAGAAACGGCUACCACAUCCAAGGAAGGCAGCAGGCGCGCAAAUUACCCAAAUCCCAACUCGGGGAGGUAGUGACAAGAAAUAACGAUGCUCCGGCCUCUGGUCGGGUAAUCGGAAUGAGAACAAUUUAAAUCCCUUAUCGAGGAUCAAUUGGAGGGCAAGUCUGGUGCCAGCAGCCGCGGUAAUUCCAGCUCCAAUAGCGUAUAUUUAAGUUGCUGCGGUUAAAAAGCUCGUAGUCGGAUUUCGGGUGGCGCCUACCGGUCCGCCUUUGGUGAGUACUGGUAGGUACCACCUUUCUGCCGAGGACGGGGUUCUGGGCUUAGUUGUCUGGGCCCCGGAGUCGGCGAUGUCACUUUGAGUAAAUUAGGGUGUUCAAAGCAGGCUUAUGCUCUGUAUACACUAGCAUGGGAUGACACGAUAGGACUUCGGCUUAUCUUGUCGGUCUGUAGGUCGGAGUAAUGAUAAAGAGGGACAGUCGGGGGCAUUCGUAUUUCGUAGUCAGAGGUGAAAUUCUUGGAUUUACGGAAGACGAACUUCUGCGAAAGCAUUUGCCAAGGAUGUUUUCAUUGAUCAAGAACGAAAGUCGGGGGCUCGAAGACGAUUAGAUACCGUCGUAGUCUCGACCAUAAACGAUGCCGACUAGGGAUCGGAGGUGGUUUUUUUAUGACCUCUCCGGCACCUUACGAGAAAUCAAAGUUUCUGGGUUCCGGGGGGAGUAUGGUCGCAAGGCUGAAACUUAAAGGAAUUGACGGAAGGGCACCACCAGGCGUGGAGCCUGCGGCUUAAUUUGACUCAACACGGGGAAACUUACCAGGUCCAGACAUGGGUAGGAUUGACAGAUUGAUAGCUCUUCUGAUCAACGGGG
Molecule: ribosomal RNA, 1223 nt
Filed under: Cephaleuros sp. GD1905
Lineage: Eukaryota; Viridiplantae; Chlorophyta; Ulvophyceae; Trentepohliales; Trentepohliaceae
Description: SSU rRNA
Rfam family: Eukaryotic small subunit ribosomal RNA
Source: RNAcentral